GGGUCGGUGGCCGAGUCUGGUUGAAGGCGACAGUCUGUAAAACUGUUCUUUUUUGCACGCAGGUACCCUGCGGGAAGCAAGCUACAAAUCCUGCUCGACCCA
Molecule: transfer RNA, 102 nt
Filed under: Nostoc sp. LEGE 12447
Lineage: Bacteria; Bacillati; Cyanobacteriota; Cyanophyceae; Nostocales; Nostocaceae
Description: tRNA-Tyr
Rfam family: tRNA
About the family: Transfer RNA (tRNA) molecules are approximately 80 nucleotides in length. Their secondary structure includes four short double-helical elements and three loops (D, anti-codon, and T loops).
Source: RNAcentral